CGUAGGUGAACCUGCGGAAGGAUCAUUACCUAGAGUUUGUGGACUUCGGUCUGCUACCUCUUACCCAUGUCUUUUGAGUACCUUCGUUUCCUCGGCGGGUCCGCCCGCCGGUUGGACAACAUUCAAACCCUUUGCAGUUCCAAUCAGCGUCUGAAAAAACUUAAUAGUUACAACUUUCAACAACGGAUCUCUUGGUUCUGGCAUCGAUGAAGAACGCAGCGAAAUGCGAUAAGUAGUGUGAAUUGCAGAAUUCAGUGAAUCAUCGAAUCUUUGAACGCACAUUGCGCCCCUUGGUAUUCCAUGGGGCAUGCCUGUUCGAGCGUCAUUUGUACCUUCAAGCUCUGCUUGGUGUUGGGUGUUUUGUCUCGCCUCCGCGCGCAGACUCGCCUUAAAACAAUUGGCAGCCGGCGUAUUGAUUUCGGAGCGCAGUACAUCUCGCGCUUUGCACUCAUAACGACGACGUCCAAAAGUACAUUUUUACACUCUUGACCUCGGAUCAGGUAGGGAUACCCGCUGAACUUA
RNAcentral lists this ribosomal RNA (522 nucleotides) under uncultured fungus. RNAcentral describes it as "eukaryotic LSU rRNA". The stretch from base 172 to 325 matches the Rfam family "5.8S ribosomal RNA". Lineage: Eukaryota; Fungi. The record is from RNAcentral.